UUUAAUAACAAAAUGGUAUAUAUUUUACAAUGCUGUGUUUGCUUGUGUAUUAUAAAAGUAAAACGCGGUGUAUUACUAUUCAUGUAUUUUACCGAACUCAAAGUACCGGCCAUUUUUUCAAGUCAAACUGAACUGGGCGCGUGAAAGCUAACCGUUCAUGGCGUCAUGCUACUUAUGUCUCAGUCCUGCUUUUAAAAAUAUCAAGCUGCAGUUGUCUUAUGUGCUAAACAUGAGUUGAUGUCCCGGUUGUUAACAUAAAAGCAGGUGGCCAUUUAACUUCGCUGCAUCCAGACACUCCUGAACUUUUCCUGGCAAGCAACUAGGCAUCUUUAUAAUAGGUGUGUACAUUUGUUUUUGUUUUACUCAACCUGUUAAACAUUUAGUUUAAAUCAAGAAAUGUGUGGUGUUUUCUACAAUAACAUAAACAUAAUGUUUUGUUGUGUCUUUCUAAUAAUGUCUAAUGCAGCACUAUGUAACUUAUGAUAGUGUUUUUAGAUAUUUGUUGAAGCUGUCACUGUGUCGUGAUAUUGCAUGGGAGAUAAUCUGUG
Long non-coding RNA from Poecilia latipinna (sailfin molly), 548 nucleotides. RefSeq lists it as uncharacterized. The record is from RefSeq and is a predicted model, not a curated record. NCBI's taxonomy places the organism in Eukaryota, Metazoa, Chordata, Actinopteri, Cyprinodontiformes, Poeciliidae. The transcript is spliced from 2 exons.